Molecule: ribosomal RNA, 508 nt
Filed under: uncultured bacterium
Lineage: Bacteria
Description: partial 16S ribosomal RNA
Rfam family: Bacterial small subunit ribosomal RNA
Source: RNAcentral
AUUGAACGCUGGCGGCAUGCCUUACACAUGCAAGUCGAACGGCAGCGGGGGAGAAGCUUGCUUUUCCUGCCGGCGAGUGGCGAACGGGUGAGUAAUACAUCGGAACGUGCCCUGUAGUGGGGGAUAGCUAGUCGAAAGAUUAGCUAAUACCGCAUACGACCUGAGGGUGAAAGUGGGGGACCGCAAGGCCUCAUGCUAUAGGAGCGGCCGAUGUCUGAUUAGCUAGUUGGUGGGGUAAAGGCCUACCAAGGCGACGAUCAGUAGCUGGUCUGAGAGGACGAUCAGCCACACUGGGACUGAGACACGGCCCAGACUCCUACGGGAGGCAGCAGUGGGGAAUUUUGGACAAUGGGCGAAAGCCUGAUCCAGCAAUGCCGCGUGUGUGAAGAAGACCUUCGGGUUGUAAAGCACUUUUGUCCGGAAAGAAAUGGCUCUGGUUAAUACCUGGGGUCGAUGACGGUACCGGAAGAAUAAGGACCGGCUAACUACGUGCCAGCCGCCGCAGUAA